RNAcentral lists this ribosomal RNA (496 nucleotides) under uncultured bacterium. RNAcentral's name for it is "partial 16S ribosomal RNA". It matches the Rfam family "Bacterial small subunit ribosomal RNA", at positions 28 to 506 of the family's 1533-position model. The record is from RNAcentral.
GAUGAACGCUGGCGGCGUGCCUAAUACAUGCAAGUCGAGCGAACAGAUAAGGAGCUUGCUCCUUUGACGUUAGCGGCGGACGGGUGAGUAACACGUGGGUAACCUACCUAUAAGACUGGGAUAACUUCGGGAAACCGGAGCUAAUACCGGAUAAUAUUUCGAACCGCAUGGUUCGAUAGUGAAAGAUGGUUUUGCUAUCACUUAUAGAUGGACCCGCGCCGUAUUAGCUAGUUGGUAAGGUAACGGCUUACCAAGGCGACGAUACGUAGCCGACCUGAGAGGGUGAUCGGCCACACUGGAACUGAGACACGGUCCAGACUCCUACGGGAGGCAGCAGUAGGGAAUCUUCCGCAAUGGGCGAAAGCCUGACGGAGCAACGCCGCGUGAGUGAUGAAGGUCUUCGGAUCGUAAAACUCUGUUAUUAGGGAAGAACAUACGUGUAAGUAACUGUGCACGUCUGGACGGUACCUAAUCAGAAAGCCACGGCUAACUACGU